UACGGAGGGUGCGAGCGUUAUCCGGAUUUAUUGGGUUUAAAGGGUCCGCAGGCGGGCCUGUAAGUCAGCGGUGAAAUCCGACAGCUUAACUGUCGAACUGCCGUUGAUACUGCGGGUCUUGAGUAAGGUUGAAGUGGCUGGAAUGAGUAGUGUAGCGGUGAAAUGCAUAGAUAUUACUCAGAACACCGAUUGCGAAGGCAGGUCACUAAGUCUUAACUGACGCUGAGGGACGAAAGCGUGGGGAGCGAACAGG
This 253-nucleotide ribosomal RNA is filed under the name uncultured bacterium. RNAcentral describes it as "partial 16S ribosomal RNA". It matches the Rfam family "Bacterial small subunit ribosomal RNA", at positions 524 to 776 of the family's 1533-position model. The record is from RNAcentral.